UACGAAGGUGGCAAGCGUUACUCGGAAUUACUAGGCGUAAAGGGCAGGUAGGCGGUUUGGUAAGUCUGUUGUGAAAGCUCCUUGCUUAACGGGGAGAGGCCAACAGAUACUGCCAGGCUUGAGUAUAGGAGAGGGUACUGGAAUUCCCGGUGUAGCGGUGAAAUGCGCAGAGAUCGGGAGGAACACCAAUGGCGAAAGCAGGUACCUGGACUAUUACUGACGCUCAGCUGCGAAAGCUAGGGGAGCAAACAGGAUUAGAAACCCCAGUAGUCC
RNAcentral lists this ribosomal RNA (273 nucleotides) under uncultured bacterium. RNAcentral describes it as "partial 16S ribosomal RNA". It matches the Rfam family "Bacterial small subunit ribosomal RNA", at positions 524 to 796 of the family's 1533-position model. The record is from RNAcentral.